GCGGGCGUAGCACAAUGGCAGUGCGCGUGCUUGCCAAGCACGAUACGGCGGUUCGAUCCCGCUCGCCCGCU
Molecule: transfer RNA, 71 nt
Filed under: Candidatus Azambacteria bacterium RIFCSPHIGHO2_02_FULL_45_18
Lineage: Bacteria; Candidatus Azamiibacteriota
Also listed under: 2 other names
Description: tRNA-Gly
Rfam family: tRNA
About the family: Transfer RNA (tRNA) molecules are approximately 80 nucleotides in length. Their secondary structure includes four short double-helical elements and three loops (D, anti-codon, and T loops).
Source: RNAcentral